UGUCAGAAAUCAGCUGUGAAGUUCUGGACUCAGCUUUGAAGAACAACCCGUCCAGACUGACAGAAUUGGACCUGAGCAACAACAACCUGCAUGAUUCAGGAUUUCUUCAUCUGUGUGGUUUUCUGGAGAGUCCAGACUGCAGACUGCAGACUCUGAGGUUGAUUGGCUGCAGAUUGUCAGAGAUUAGCUGUGAAGCACUGGGCUCAGCUCUGAAGAAAAAUGCGUCUUCCAAUCUUACAGAAUUGGACCUGAGCUGGAAUAAGCUGCAGGAUUCAGGAUUUCUUCAUCUGUGUGGUUCUCUGAAGAGUCCAGACUGCAGACUGCAGACUUUGAGGUUAAUCAACUGCAGUUUGUCAAAGAUCAGCUGUGGUGCUCUGGUCUCAACUCUGAAUUUAAACCCGUCGCACCUGACAGAACUGGACCUGAGGAACAACAGCCUUCAGUCUUCAGAUAUUCAGCAGCUCCAGGAUCUGGUCAGAAGUCCAAACUCCAAACUGCAGACUCUGAGCUGGGAGGGAGCGAUGUGGUUUCUCUGAUAUUCCUUGUGGUGGAGCAGAGAGUAGCAUCAUCCUCAUCAUCUGGUCUGCAGAAAUGUUGUGACUGGGAGGUGGAGAGCAGAGUGGUGGAGGAAUCAGUGGAAGUGUCAGAGCUGAAGCAUGAACUCUUUUUUUUUGGACAUGUUAGACAUUACAAACCAUGGCAUCGGACAUUACAAAGCAUGACAUUAGAUAUGUAUAUAUGUGAAGUCAAAAACAAUUCAAUUUAAGGAUUAAUAAAAGAGAAAGGCAGAAAAAAUAAAAAUACAAAAUAAA
Oryzias melastigma (Indian medaka) is the source of this 812-nucleotide long non-coding RNA. RefSeq lists it as uncharacterized. The transcript is spliced from 4 exons. NCBI's taxonomy places the organism in Eukaryota, Metazoa, Chordata, Actinopteri, Beloniformes, Adrianichthyidae. The record is from RefSeq and is a predicted model, not a curated record.